GACGAACGCUGGCGGCGUGCUUAACACAUGCAAGUCGAGCGGUAAGGCCCUUUCGGGGGUACACGAGCGGCGAACGGGUGAGUAACACGUGGGUGACCUGCCCUCAGCUCUGGGAUAAGCCUGGGAAACCGGGUCUAAUACUGGAUAUGACUCCAUGACGCAUGUUGUGGGGUGGAAAGCCUUGUGCGGCUGAGGAUGGGCCCGCGGCCUAUCAGCUUGUUGGUGGGGUGANGGCCUACCAAGGCGACGACGGGUAGCCGGCCUGAGAGGGCGACCGGCCACACUGGGACUGAGACACGGCCCAGACUCCUACGGGAGGCAGCAGUGGGAAUCUUGCGCAAUGGGCGAAAGCCUGACGC
This 359-nucleotide ribosomal RNA is filed under the name uncultured bacterium. RNAcentral's name for it is "bacterial SSU rRNA". It matches the Rfam family "Bacterial small subunit ribosomal RNA", at positions 28 to 389 of the family's 1533-position model. The record is from RNAcentral.